RNAcentral lists this ribosomal RNA (243 nucleotides) under uncultured bacterium. Its description in RNAcentral is "partial 16S ribosomal RNA". It matches the Rfam family "Bacterial small subunit ribosomal RNA", at positions 63 to 334 of the family's 1533-position model. The record is from RNAcentral.
CGAGCGCCACCUUCGGGUGGAGCGGCGGACGGGUUAGUAACGCGUGGGAACGUACCCGUUACUAAGGAAUAGCCAUUGGAAACGAUGAGUAAUACCUUAUACGCCCUUCGGGGGAAAGAUUUAUCGGUAAAGGAUCGGCCCGCGUUAGUUUAGAUAGUUGGUGGGGUAAUGGCCUACCAAGUCUACGAUCUAUAGCUGGUUUGAGAGGAUGAUCAGCAACACUGGGACUGAGACACGGCCCAG